CCUGGCACUGAGAACUGAAUUCCAUAGGCUGUGAGCUCUAGCGAAUGCCCUAUGGACUCAGUUCUGGUGCCCGG
Molecule: microRNA precursor, 74 nt
Organism: Aotus nancymaae (Ma's night monkey)
Lineage: Eukaryota; Metazoa; Chordata; Mammalia; Primates; Aotidae
Source: Ensembl